CAGGAGCAAUCCUGUCAGUGGCGCAAGGGUGCGUAACACGUGGGCAAUCUGCCGAGAAGUGGGGGAUAGCUCGCCGAAAGGCGAAUUAAUACCGCAUGUGACCAGGAGCAACAUUUCUCCGACGUCAAAGCUGGGGCAACCUAGCGCUUCUUGAUGAGCCCGCGGCCUAUCAGCUCGUUGGUGAGGUAACGGCUCACCAAGGCAUUGACGGGUAGCUGGUCUCAGAGGACGACCAGCCACACUGGAACUGAGACACGGUCCAGACACCUACGGGUGGCAGCAGUCGAGAAUUUUUCUCAAUGGGGGAAACCCUGAAGGAGCGACGCCGCGUGGAGGAUGAGGGUCUUCGGAUUGUAAACUCCUGUCAUUUGAGAACAAACGGAUGCUAGUAACUACAGCGUCCUUGAUAGUAUCAGAAGAGGAAGAGGCGGCUAACUCUGUGCCAGCAGCCGCGGUAAUACAGAGGCCUCAAGCGUUGUUCGGAUUCAUUGGGCGUAAAGGGAGCGUAGGCGGUCGGGUAAGUCGGAUGUGAAAUCCUGGGGCUCAACCUCAGAACUGCAUUCGAUACUGCUUGGCUAGAGGGUUGGAGAGGUGAGUGGAAUUCACGGUGUAGCA
RNAcentral lists this ribosomal RNA (615 nucleotides) under uncultured Verrucomicrobiota bacterium. RNAcentral's name for it is "bacterial SSU rRNA". It matches the Rfam family "Bacterial small subunit ribosomal RNA", at positions 74 to 680 of the family's 1533-position model. Lineage: Bacteria; Pseudomonadati; Verrucomicrobiota. The record is from RNAcentral.